RNAcentral lists this ribosomal RNA (1408 nucleotides) under uncultured bacterium. RNAcentral's name for it is "partial 16S ribosomal RNA". It matches the Rfam family "Bacterial small subunit ribosomal RNA". The record is from RNAcentral.
GAAGUUUUGAAACAUGGCUCAGGACGAAACGCCUGGCGGCGUGCUUAACACAUGCAAGUUCGAACGAAGAAGCGGUGCUUUGCACCGUGGAUUAGUUGGCGAACGGGUGAGUAAUACGUGAGUCGACCUACCUUUGACUCUGGGAUAAGCCUGGGAAACUGGGUCUAAUACCGGAUACGACCAAUCUCUGCAUGGGGUGUUGGUGGAAAGCGUUAUGGAGUGGUUUUAGAUGGGCUCACGGCCUAUCAGCUUGUUGGUGGGGUAAAGGCCUACCAAGGCGACGAUCAGUAGCGGGUCUGAGAGGAUGAUCCGCCACACUGGGACUGAGACACGGCCCAGACUCCUACGGGAGGCAGCAGUGGGGAAUUUUGGACAAUGGGCGCAAGCCUGAUCCAGCCAUGCCGCGUGUCUGAAGAAGGCCUUCGGGUUGUAAAGGACUUUUGUCAGGGAAGAAAAGGGCGGGGUUAAUACCCCUGUCUGAUGACGGUACCUGAAGAAUAAGCACCGGCUAACUACGUGCCAGCAGCCGCGGUAAUACGUAGGGUGCGAGCGUUAAUCGGAAUUACUGGGCGUAAAGCGGGCGCAGACGGUUACUUAAGCAGGAUGUGAAAUCCCCGGGCUCAACCUGGGAACUGCGUUCUGAACUGGGUGACUAGAGUGUGUCAGAGGGAGGUAGAAUUCCACGUGUAGCAGUGAAAUGCGUAGAGAUGUGGAGGAAUACCGAUGGCGAAGGCAGCCUCCUGGGAUAACACUGACGUUCAUGCCCGAAAGCGUGGGUAGCAAACAGGAUUAGAUACCCUGGUAGUCCACGCCCUAAACGAUGUCGAUUAGCUGUUGGGCAGCAUGACUGCUUAGUAGCGAAGCUAACGCGUGAAAUCGACCGCCUGGGGAGUACGGUCGCAAGAUUAAAACUCAAAGGAAUUGACGGGGACCCGCACAAGCGGUGGAUGAUGUGGAUUAAUUCGAUGCAACGCGAAGAACCUUACCUGGUCUUGACAUGUACGGAACCCUCCAGAGACGGAGGGGUGCCUUCGGGAGCCGUAACACAGGUGCUGCAUGGCUGUCGUCAGCUCGUGUCGUGAGAUGUUGGGUUAAGUCCCGCAACGAGCGCAACCCUUGUCAUUAGUUGCCAUCAUUAAGUUGGGCACUCUAAUGAGACUGCCGGUGACAAGCCGGAGGAAGGUGGGGAUGACGUCAAGUCCUCAUGGCCCUUAUGACCAGGGCUUCACACGUCAUACAAUGGUCGGUACAGAGGGUAGCCAAGCCGCGAGGUGGAGCCAAUCUCACAAAACCGAUCGUAGUCCGGAUUGCACUCUGCAACUCGAGUGCAUGAAGUCGGAAUCGCUAGUAAUCGCAGGUCAGCAUACUGCGGUGAAUACGUUCCCGGGUCUUGCACACACCGCCCGUC